UCCUACGGGAGGCAGCAGUGAGGAAUAUUGGUCAAUGGGCGCAAGCCUGAACCAGCCAUCCCGCGUGCAGGAAGACGGCCCUAUGGGUUGUAAACUGCUUUUCUGACGGAAGAAUAGUCGCUACGUGUAGUGAUUUGACGGUACUUCAGGAAUAAGCAUCGGCUAACUCCGUGCCAGCAGCCGCGGUAAUACGGAGGAUGCAAGCGUUAUCCGGAUUCAUUGGGUUUAAAGGGUGCGUAGGCGGACUAAUAAGUCAGUGGUGAAAUCUUCCGGCUCAACCGGGAAACUGCCAUUGAUACUGUUAGUCUUGAGUUCGGCUGAGGUAGGCGGAAUGUGUAAUGUAGCGGUGAAAUGCUUAGAUAUUACACAGAACACCAAUUGCGUAGGCAGCUUACUAGACCGACACUGACGCUGAGGCACGAAAGCGUGGGGAGCGAACAGGAUUAGAUACCCUGGUAGUCCACGCCGUAAACUAUGAUUACUCGUUGUUGGCGAUACACAGUCAGCGACCAAGCGAAAGCGAUAAGUAAUCCACCUGGGGAGUACGCUUGCAAGAGUGAAACUCAAAGGAA
Molecule: ribosomal RNA, 572 nt
Filed under: uncultured bacterium
Lineage: Bacteria
Description: bacterial SSU rRNA
Rfam family: Bacterial small subunit ribosomal RNA
Source: RNAcentral